CUUGGUCAUUUAGAGGAAGUAAAAGUCGUAACAAGGUUUCCGUAGGUGAACCUGCGGAAGGAUCAUUAGUGAAUUGAAUGUGUUAGCGGACCUCUUCGGAGUCCCUAGCAUCAAAUCAUAUCCAUAACACCUGUGAACUGUAAGGCUGUCUUGAAAACGAAAGUGAUUAGAGCGCCUGCCCAUUUUAUACAAACAUUAAAGUAACAAACGUAGUCUUAUUAUAAUCUAAUAAAACUUUCAACAACGGAUCUCUUGGCUCUCGCAUCGAUGAAGAACGCAGCGAAAUGCGAUAAGUAAUGUGAAUUGCAGAAUUCAGUGAAUCAUCGAAUCUUUGAACGCACCUUGCGCUCUUUGGUAUUCCGAAGAGCAUGCCUGUUUGAGUGUCAUGAAAAUAUCAACCUUGACUUGGGUUUAGUGCUCUUGUCUUGGCUUGGAUUUGGCUGUUUGCCGCUCGAAAGAGUCGGCUCAGCUUAAAAGUAUUAGCUGGAUCUGUCUUUGAGACUUGGUUUGACUUGGCGUAAUAAGUUAUUUCGCUGAGGACAAUCUUCGGAUUGGCCGAGUUUCUGGGACGUUUGUCCGCUUUCUAAUACAAGUUCUAGCUUGCUAGACAUGACUUUUUUAUUAUCUGGCCUCAAAUCAGGUAGGACUACCCGCUGAACUUAAGCAUAUCAAUAAGCGGAGGA
This 683-nucleotide ribosomal RNA is filed under the name uncultured fungus. RNAcentral describes it as "eukaryotic LSU rRNA". The stretch from base 233 to 386 matches the Rfam family "5.8S ribosomal RNA". The record is from RNAcentral. Lineage: Eukaryota; Fungi.